Molecule: non-coding RNA, 30 nt
Filed under: Rattus norvegicus (Norway rat)
Lineage: Eukaryota; Metazoa; Chordata; Mammalia; Rodentia; Muridae
Source: RNAcentral
UGAGAUUUGUCUCUACAUACCAUGGCUCCC